GUCCUUUUGAUCAUUAUUUAAGGUCUUAUCUGCCCACUGAUAUUUGAAGGGCCGCAGUAUUUUGACUGUGCAAAGGUAGCAUAAUAAUUAGUUUCUUAAUUGGGAGCUGGUAUGAAUGAUAGGACGAGAAAAUUACUGUCUUUACCUAAAUUUUAUUGAAUUUAACUUUUUAGUUAAAAGGCUUAAUUGUUUAUAAAAGACGAGAAGACCCUAUAGAGUUUUAUAAAAUUAAUUUAUUUAAUUUUAGGAAUAAAAGAUUUUUAGAUUAAUUUUUAUUUUAUUGGGGUGAUUAGAAAAUUGUUAAAACUUUUCUUUUUUUAAUUCAUUUAUUUAUGAUUUCUUGAUCCUGAAUUUCUGAUUAUAAGAUUAAAUUACCUUAGGGAUAACAGCGUAAUUCUUUUUGAGAGUUCUUAUCGAAGAAAGAGUUUGCGA
Molecule: ribosomal RNA, 432 nt
Filed under: Attagenus pellio
Lineage: Eukaryota; Metazoa; Arthropoda; Insecta; Coleoptera; Dermestidae
Description: partial large subunit ribosomal RNA
Rfam family: Bacterial large subunit ribosomal RNA
Source: RNAcentral